This 253-nucleotide ribosomal RNA is filed under the name uncultured bacterium. RNAcentral's name for it is "partial 16S ribosomal RNA". It matches the Rfam family "Bacterial small subunit ribosomal RNA", at positions 524 to 776 of the family's 1533-position model. The record is from RNAcentral.
GACGUAGGAGGCGAGCGUUGUCCGGAUUCAUUGGGCGUAAAGAGCACGCAGGCGGUUUGGCAAGUCGGAUGUGAAAACCCGAAGCUCAACUUCGGGCCUGCAUCCGAAACUGCCCGACUAGAGGUAGGUAGGGGAGAUCGGAAUUCCUGGUGUAGCGGUGAAAUGCGCAGAUAUCAGGAGGAACACCGGUGGCGAAGGCGACUACCUGGCCUGUUCUUGACGCUGAGGCGCGAAAGCUAGGGGAGCAAACGGG